RNAcentral lists this non-coding RNA (31 nucleotides) under Rattus norvegicus (Norway rat). Lineage: Eukaryota; Metazoa; Chordata; Mammalia; Rodentia; Muridae. The record is from RNAcentral.
ACUGCCUUCCUGUUGGAGCAAGUUUCCUUCC